GGAUAGAAUAUGAUAUCCUGUUGUAAAUAAAAAAAAUAGGAAAACGUUGAAGACUCCCGUUGGGAGUCUUCUUUCGCAUGACCUCAUCGGAAAGGGAUGUUGAAUCCGAAAAAGAUUCGACCUCUCCUCUAUCCUAUAAAACUUCUUCUCCCUCUCCCCCUCCUAAGCAACCCACAGUGACCACCGGCCUUCCUCCCUCACCUUUCUUCUUGAUUUCUCUUGUUGAAGCCAUGGCCUCCCAUCAGGGCCGGCCCUGGGGCAG
This 262-nucleotide long non-coding RNA is filed under the name Elaeis guineensis (African oil palm). Its description in RNAcentral is "long non-coding RNA (EGUI_LNC074682)". The record is from RNAcentral. Lineage: Eukaryota; Viridiplantae; Streptophyta; Magnoliopsida; Arecales; Arecaceae.